UGUUGGUUAGAUCUACUGAAGGAUUAUGACUGCAAUAUUUCUUAUCACCCUAGAAAGGGUAAUGUCAUAACUGACACCCUUAAUAGAAGAAGUUCUAUAUUUAUUGCUUAGUUGAUAAUCUCAAAAUUACAGUUGCUCUCAACUAUCCAGGAUUUAUCAGUGGACACCACGAAUGAUGGUGCCUUUCUUGCCUAUUUGCAUAGUCAGCCUUAUUCCAUUGAGAGAAUUAGGGAUGUUUAGUCUAGAGAUUUUCGAGCUCAGAAAUAAAGGGAAUAGAUCUCUCUUGGCAAUAAGACUGAAUUUAAGGUCUCUUAUGAUGAUCUAGUGCAAUUCAGGAACUAUUUGUGGGUACUAGAGGAUUCCAAGUUGAGAUAGGAUAUUUGAGGGAGGACCAUUCCUCCCGAUUAUUUAUCCA
Molecule: long non-coding RNA, 415 nt
Filed under: Carica papaya (papaya)
Lineage: Eukaryota; Viridiplantae; Streptophyta; Magnoliopsida; Brassicales; Caricaceae
Description: long non-coding RNA (CPAP_LNC002242)
Source: RNAcentral